GACGAACGCUGGCGGCGUGCUUAACACAUGCAAGUCGAACGGAAAGGCCCUGCUUUUGUGGGGUGCUCGAGUGGCGAACGGGUGAGUAACACGUGAGUAACCUGCCCUUGACUUUGGGAUAACUUCAGGAAACUGGGGCUAAUACCGGAAAGGAGCUCCUGCUGCAUGGUGGGGGUUGGAAAGUUUCGGCGGUUGGGGAUGGACUCGCGGCUUAUCAGCUUGUUGGGGGGGUAGUGGCUUACCAAGGCUUUGACGGGUAGCCGGCCUGGGCGGGUGACAGGCCACAUUGGGACUGAGAUGAGGCCCAGACUCCUACGGGAGGGAGCAGUGGGGAAUAGUGCACAAUGGGCGGAGGCCUGAUGCAGCAACGCCGCGUGCGGGAUGACGGCCUUCGGGUUGGAAACCGCUUUCGCCUGUGACGAAGCGUGAGUGACGGUAAUGGGUAAAGAAGCACCGGCUAACUACGUG
RNAcentral lists this ribosomal RNA (468 nucleotides) under uncultured bacterium. Its description in RNAcentral is "partial 16S ribosomal RNA". It matches the Rfam family "Bacterial small subunit ribosomal RNA", at positions 28 to 507 of the family's 1533-position model. The record is from RNAcentral.